This 253-nucleotide ribosomal RNA is filed under the name uncultured bacterium. RNAcentral's name for it is "partial 16S ribosomal RNA". It matches the Rfam family "Bacterial small subunit ribosomal RNA", at positions 524 to 776 of the family's 1533-position model. The record is from RNAcentral.
UACGGGGGGAGCAAGCGUUGUUCGGAUUUACUGGGCGGAAAGGGCGCGUAGGCGGCGCAACAAGUCACUUGUGAAAUCUCCGGGCUUAACCCGGAGCGGCCAAGUGAUACUGUCGUGCUAGAGUGCGGAAGGGGCUACUGGAAUUCUCGGUGUAGCGGUGAAAUGCGUAGAUAUCGAGAGGAACACCUGCGGCGAAGGCGGGUAGCUGGGCCGACACUGACGCUGAGGCGCGAAAGCCAGGGGAGCGAACAGG